UUGGCGGAUGUCAUUUUAAUAUCUUAUAAACCUGUAACUGCCCGCUGAAGUGACUUCGGCAGAAUGGUUAGCUCAGGGCCUGGAACUUGUCAGGGUCUCAGGCAACACGCGUCUCUUCUUUUUAAGAAGUUUGCCUCCAGGUUAUUUUUAAGGGCACACGUUAAGACACAGAGUUGUACAUGUGAAUGGGGAAACUGGGUAAUGUUUUGAUCUGUGCAUAAUUGUGUGUAAUGCUUGAAUCCAGUUAAACAUAUCCAUCUCGCCUGUCACCUGUCAUUUGUUCAUGGUGAGAGCUCAGAGCCUUUCUUCUAAGCUUCUGUAGGUGGGUGGCAUGUAAUUAAUUGUUCUCCACAAUUACCCCAUUGGGCAAAGGCUCAUGGAGCUGCAACUCCAUACUCACUGGUCAGCCUCUCCUCAUUUCUCCCGCUCUCCUACCACCCCAAACAGUAACCAUUCAUUCCACUCUCUUCCAGAAAGCUCUGUAGACAAAUGAGAUCACAUGGUGCCAUCUUCCUGGGCCUAGCUUAUUUCACUUCACACAGUAUCGCCAUUUCCAUCCCUGUUGGCACAAGUGGCGGGAUCUUCAUCCUUUUUAUGAUUGAGUAUUCUGUUGUGCACAUGGGCUGCACUUUCUUUUCCACUAGGGUGAUUUCUGUCUGUUGACAAUGGUGAUGGAUGCAGUUAUGGAGGGGUUGUUGGAGGAGGGAGAGGGGUCCUUCAUCACGCUGCUGCCUUUCAUGGGGCUCCACACCCAGAGAAAGGCCAGACAGCUGGCUCAUGGGGCAAGCAGGAAAGAGAGGUCCAGCUUCAUCCUCGCCUGGAAAUCCCAAGAACCCUCCCUGCUGUGCUCUGUGAAGUCUAUGCAAGUCAGCACUUCCUCCCUCCGCAUGGAGGACUCCCCUCUGAGCCCUCACCAGCCUCUCAGCACCGGCUGUCUGUGGACUUUCCAACUGGAGAGAGGUGGUAUCUGGCCGUGGUCUGACCCAUAUUAAUGAUGCUGAGCGUUUUUUUUUUUCUACCCCUGUUGGUGGUGUUCCCGCUUUGAUCUGUAGAUGCUUCGCAGCCCACAGUCCCCCCACCUCAGGCGUGGACCAGUGUCCCAGCCAGGGCCCAGUGCAGAUAUCCAUUGGAUUCAUCUGACAGCUGUUCCUGUUUCCUCAGCUCUCCUGGGCCCCCCACACCCCCACCCGCUGACCACCCUGCAGGGGGCACAGAAUGCAGCCCUGUGUGCCGGUCUCCCUCAGCCACCAUGACCAUGGGGUGAUGGUCAGGGUUAACUAGUCUGUGUGGUGCCCAGCCCAUGGUCAGGGCUGGAGUGGACAUUACAUGACCCCACGUCACACCUCAGCACCACUUUAUGAGCAAGAGCCCACCCACGGAAGAGGUGGAGAUGGGGACAGUCCCCAGCCAGCCAAAGAGCAGAUGGGAUCCGUGGGGGGAAGGGCAAAAAGCAUUGGCCCUGACCACAUGGCGAGCACAGCAGCUGCGGUGGGCAAUGAAGCCAGACCGCCCUCUCCCGCCUGCAUCCCAGACAGCCCAUUGCCACCAAGUCUCACAGCAGAGACCCGCGAACCUGAAGGCUCUUCUUCCCGGGUGUUCCUGACUUCAGCCUCACGUGUGGGGCCUUGAAGGGCUUUGUUUCUUCAUGUUGCUUUGAAAGAAAUGUGUCUUUGAAUGUUCAGGUAAGAAGGCGCUAUUGUGAAUCGGAGGCACACCUGGAGGCCGAUGAAUUACCCGGAUGCAAUCAUUAUACAGCUCAAAAA
Molecule: long non-coding RNA, 1763 nt
Organism: Perognathus longimembris pacificus (Pacific pocket mouse)
Lineage: Eukaryota; Metazoa; Chordata; Mammalia; Rodentia; Heteromyidae
Exons: 2
Source: RefSeq, a predicted model, not a curated record